CAGUGAUAUAAUCUGCCUCAAAAUAACACCUGUCCUGGUGUCUCCAUAUUGGCUGCCAGUCUCGUUUUGAAAUACAGGUAAUUUCUCUCUUUUAAUUCUUCUAGUUGGCGUACGCAUAAUAUAGAGUUUGAGGCCAAAAAUCUUAAAUUAAUGUGUGAUUAUUGGUUUUACUCUGAGUUACAGACACCCUGCACAGAAUUAAGGUGUCUGGGACUGACCAAUGGGGUCCUGUCAGUCUGAACGCAAAACCUUCUUUCUUCCAGGUCAGGGGACGGGCAGCCCAAAGUCCUUGCACCUGUGAGGAGAGACGUCCUGACCGUCACCCCCUGGUUGGCGCCCAUCGUCUGGGAAGGGACCUUUGACCCCUCGAUCCUCGACGGCAUCUACAAGCCCCUGAACAUCACCGUAGCGACCACGGUGUUCGCCGUCGGCAAGUAUAUCCGUUUCCUGAGGGGGUUCCUGGAGUCGGCGGAGAAGCACUACCUGGUGGGGUUC
Non-coding RNA from Lepisosteus oculatus (spotted gar), 495 nucleotides. The record is from RefSeq and is a predicted model, not a curated record. Lineage: Eukaryota; Metazoa; Chordata; Actinopteri; Semionotiformes; Lepisosteidae.